Molecule: ribosomal RNA, 496 nt
Filed under: uncultured bacterium
Lineage: Bacteria
Description: partial 16S ribosomal RNA
Rfam family: Bacterial small subunit ribosomal RNA
Source: RNAcentral
GAUGAACGCUGGCGGCGUGCCUAAUACAUGCAAGUCGAGCGAACAGACGAGGAGCUUGCUCCUCUGACGUUAGCGGCGGACGGGUGAGUAACACGUGGAUAACCUACCUAUAAGACUGGGAUAACUUCGGGAAACCGGAGCUAAUACCGGAUAAUAUAUUGAACCGCAUGGUUCAAUAGUGAAAGACGGUUUUGCUGUCACUUAUAGAUGGAUCCGCGCCGCAUUAGCUAGUUGGUAAGGUAACGGCUUACCAAGGCAACGAUGCGUAGCCGACCUGAGAGGGUGAUCGGCCACACUGGAACUGGGACACGGUCCAGACUCCUACGGGAGGCAGCAGUAGGGAAUCUUCCGCAAUGGGCGAAAGCCUGACGGAGCAACGCCGCGUGAGUGAUGAAGGUCUUCGGAUCGUAAAACUCUGUUAUUAGGGAAGAACAAAUGUGUAAGUAACUAUGCACGUCUUGACGGUACCUAAGCAGAAAGCCACGGCUAACUACGU